RNAcentral lists this ribosomal RNA (204 nucleotides) under Phaeomonas parva. RNAcentral's name for it is "partial Bacterial large subunit ribosomal RNA". It matches the Rfam family "Bacterial large subunit ribosomal RNA", at positions 2364 to 2567 of the family's 2925-position model. Lineage: Eukaryota; Pinguiophyceae; Pinguiochrysidales; Pinguiochrysidaceae. The record is from RNAcentral.
GGUGCUUGACUGUGAGACCUACAAGUCGAGCAGGUACGAAAGUAGAGCAUAGUGAUCCGGUGGUUCCGCAUGGAAGGGCCAUCGCUCAAAGGAUAAAAGGUACGCCGGGGAUAACAGGCUGAUCCCCCCCAAGAGCUCACAUCGACGGGGGGGUUUGGCACCUCGAUGUCGGCUCGUCACAUCCUGGGGCUGGAGAAGGUCCCA